Molecule: transfer RNA, 77 nt
Filed under: Gammaproteobacteria bacterium
Lineage: Bacteria; Pseudomonadati; Pseudomonadota; Gammaproteobacteria
Description: tRNA-Met
Rfam family: tRNA
About the family: Transfer RNA (tRNA) molecules are approximately 80 nucleotides in length. Their secondary structure includes four short double-helical elements and three loops (D, anti-codon, and T loops).
Source: RNAcentral
GGCUACGUAGCUCAGCUGGUUAGAGCACGGCACUCAUAAUGCCGGGGUCCCCUGUUCAAAUCAGGGCGUAGCCACCA